UACGAAGGGGGCUAGCGUUGCUCGGAAUUACUGGGCGUAAAGGGCGCGUAGGCGGAUGUUUAAGUCGGGGGUGAAAGCCCAGGGCUCAACCCUGGAAUUGCCUUCGAUACUGGACAUCUUGAGUGCGGGAGAGGUGGAGUGGAACUCCGAGUGUAGAGGUGAAAUUCGUAGAUAUUCGGAAGAACACCAGUGGCGAAGGCGACUCACUGGCCCGUUACUGACGCUGAUGCGCGAAAGCGUGGGGAGCAAACAGG
This 254-nucleotide ribosomal RNA is filed under the name uncultured bacterium. Its description in RNAcentral is "partial 16S ribosomal RNA". It matches the Rfam family "Bacterial small subunit ribosomal RNA", at positions 524 to 776 of the family's 1533-position model. The record is from RNAcentral.